ACGAACGCUGGCGGCGCGCCUAACACAUGCAAGUCGAACGCGCGAGAGAGAGCUUGCUUUCUCGAGCGAGUGGCGAACGGGUGAGUAACGCGUGAGGAACCUGCCUCAAAGAGGGGGACAACAGUUGGAAACGACUGCUAAUACCGCAUAAGCCCACGACCCGGCAUCGGGUAGAGGGAAAAGGAGCAAUCCGCUUUGAGAUGGCCUCGCGUCCGAUUAGCUAGUUGGUGAGGUAACGGCCCACCAAGGCGACGAUCGGUAGCCGGACUGAGAGGUUGAACGGCCACAUUGGGACUGAGACACGGCCCAGACUCCUACGGGAGGCAGCAGUGGGGAAUAUUGCACAAUGGGGGAAACCCUGAUGCAGCGACGCCGCGUGGAGGAAGAAGGUCUUCGGAUUGUAAACUCCUGUUGUUGAGGAAGAUAAUGACGGUACUCAACAAGGAAGUGACGGCUAACUACGUG
RNAcentral lists this ribosomal RNA (465 nucleotides) under uncultured bacterium. Its description in RNAcentral is "partial 16S ribosomal RNA". It matches the Rfam family "Bacterial small subunit ribosomal RNA", at positions 29 to 507 of the family's 1533-position model. The record is from RNAcentral.